Molecule: long non-coding RNA, 4141 nt
Organism: Uloborus diversus
Lineage: Eukaryota; Metazoa; Arthropoda; Arachnida; Araneae; Uloboridae
Exons: 3
Source: RefSeq, a predicted model, not a curated record
GCUACGCGUCGCUCAAGAGCGUGAACAAGUGUCGACAAUGUUCAUACGCUUUCGGCGCGUUUGUCUUGCGGAGCGGGGAGCGAUCGAAAUGGCUGAUGUGUUCGUCAAGAAAAAACUAGAAGAUUGGAGUUUUCAUCGAACUUUGAAACGAACCUUUCGAGAGAUAUGGUAUCUCCAACAUUAUCACAUUGCUGAAGGUUGUAAAGGCCAAAAAUAACAAAGAUAUUUAUUUAAUAUUUGAUUUUAUGGGUAUAUGAAUUACAUUUUCGCAAAGAAGACAUUCUUCAUGAAGCAGAAUUCUUCGAUGAAAAGUCGAUGAGACUUCUAAAGAGUGAAAUAUUUGGUAUGUCCCACAAUGACUCAAAUGCUGCAUCCAGUGCUUUCACAUUUAUGAUCCAAAGUUUAUUGUCUCCGUACAAAGAUGUGGCACAUAUUUUGCCACUGCGUAGCAUAGAUGCUGACGAUUUCCAUUCAUAUAUAAAAAAAAUCUUGAUUGGUUUAGCUGCCAUAGGGUUUAAUGUCAUAUCAGUAGCCACUGACAAUAAUGCUAUUAAUAAAAAGGCCGUUAGUAUGUUUGCCUCUCCCCUUGAGUCGUGGGUUAGGUAUGAUUAUCCUGGAAGUCCAGGAAAAUAUUUCUAUUUUUCUUUUGAUUCCGUUUAUUUGAUUCCGUUCAUAUUUUUACAGACUACAUUCAGAUUCUUUGCAAGUGGUGGUCAAUAAUGAAUGUGAAAACUUUGUAUAAGGGUGAGCAUAAAAGGGAUGAGUUCCAAACGCCUCUCACACCAAAUACUGACACAGCUCAGUAUAAGUUCUUAACUAACUUUAUUAAUUGGUUAGACAAAUGGGAGGAAAUGAAUUGUACAACUGGUGGAUUAACAAAGCAAACCCAUCUAGCCAUAAGCCAUACUACAAAAGCUAUGCUUGCUCUUGCAGAGUACUGUUUUAAAACUUUAAAUUUCGAUUAUUUUUUACCAGGGAAAAUACAGACUCAUUAGAAGACAGAUUUGGGUCUUACCGUACAUUGGCAGGGUCAAAUUACAAUGUCAGUAUACGUCAAAUUUAUGACACUGAAACAAAAUUGAGAAUGCAAACAAUUUUACCCCUUGUGUUAAAAUUGAAAAGUUGUGGAGAAUUGUUACUAAGUUUUUUUCAGGACAAACAUUGGGAUGAAGAUGAAGAUAGCUCAGAUUCAUAUCCUUUUUUUAAUGGUUUUCUAAUCACUCCGGAAGAAAUGGUAAGUACUCAAUCGAGUUUGCCAAUUUUAACAUACAUUAGUGGAUAUGCAGCUCAUAAAGUUCUAUUGAAACUAAAGUGUGAACAAUGUCGAUCAACUUUAUGCAUUGAUAAGCCCCUUGACACAGAUGUAAACAAUGAUUGGAUAUCAAAAUUAGACAGCGGAGGGUUGAAAUACCCACAUCCCGAAGUUGUUUGUGUUUCUCAAUUCACAUAUGUAGUUGUAAACAAAUUGUUGUCAACACAUUUUGAAUCAAAUUUUAUCAGUUGUCAAAAUCACAGAAAGGUUGUAAAAUAUUUAACUCUUGAUGUACUGGAUGAAAAUGAUAUUUCUCUAGGUAUCGAUGAAUGUGAGAGUCAUGAUUCUCUGUUUCUUGUAAAACAAAUUGUAUGGGUUUUCAUUAAUAUAUUUUUGAACAACUUUUGCAAAAAACAAAAUGAUUCUCUUCAAAAAAUGAAAAAAGAUCAAAAAGAAAAAAAUACACUGAAAAAAUUUAAGAAAGAUGCACGUAAAUUGUCCACACUAAAUAAAUAAGCAAUUUUAUAUUGUUUCUAUGAGUUAUCUUUUAAAAUGUAAAAGUUUGACUGAAUUAUCCUAAACUAUUUUUAAAUUACAACCUAGGGAAUAGGUGGAAACACUAUGAUGUACCUUGCCGAUUAUUGUCAAGGUUGCCACGCCACAGGGAAACCUGAAGAAACAGGGAAAACAUAGGGAAUUCAAAUAUAUGUAUAUAUAUAUAUAUAUAUAUAAAGAACUGACCAUCCAGCGAAUUUCAAAAAUUUCCUCAAAAACCUGGAAAAUACAGGGAAUUUUUUUCUUCUUAAAUUGAAGUUGCGAAAAUCAAUUUCCUAAUAUAUAAACUGCCAAAAAACAAAUAAAUUACUAGUAAUAAUUAUAAUGAUAAUAUUAAUAAAGUAAAAUAAAAAAUGGCAAUUUUGCUUAAGUUUUUAUUUUCAAGUUAAAUAUUAAAAUAUUCAUCAUAAAAAUAGAUUCUUGAAUUUCAUGAUAAUUUUGAGUGUAUGAAAUUAGUCGUCAAUAAUCUUUAUUCUGGAUCACUUACACACUUUUAGGUCCAUGUAAUGAAUGGUCAAAAGAAGUUUUUUUUUUUUUUUUUGAGUAAAAAGUUGAAUAUAUUCAAUCACCAUGCUAUUAUUUCAGUUAUUAUGAAUUCUUAUUUAUUUUCCCUUACUUAUUUAGAUUUUUUUUAAAAAACCUGUGGUGAAAUUAUCAAGAUAUUUAUGUUCUUUUUCAAAUAUCAGUGUCCGCUUGUUUAUAAUGUUUCAUUUUCAUGCAGGGAAAUCAUAGGGAAUUUUUCUUGCAAAAUUGAUUAGCAACCCUGAUUGUGAAAGUGUGCAGAAUUUUAAUUUCUAAUUAGUUAUGGACAAUGAAGUUUCUUAAUGUAUUGUACAAAGAGAAAUGAACAUCUUCUUAAACCCUUAAAAAAAAAAAAAAAACUGAAUUUUUCUAUUUUAUUUAAUAAUUUUAAGUUUUAUCAAUUAAAAUUUAAUUAUUAUUAAUCAUUAUUGAUGCUGUAUAUAAAAAAGAAAAGAGUCAAUUAAAUUAAACCGUGCUUUAUGAGUGUAAAAUAGUAGACCACCACCUCUGCAUAUGUAGUGUGAACUGUUAGUACUUGAUUCUUAAUUUUUCAUGUUUUUGAUUGUGAGUUCCUAAUAGCUAAAUAAUUUGAGUGUUAGCUCUUGUUUGACCUCAUGUGUAACAUAAAUGGUAAUAGGUGUUUUUUAUGUGAUGUAUGUGUUAUCAUGUGCAAAUAAAAGUUACUGUGCUUAAAAUAUUGUCUUUAUUUGAGUAUCACAUUCAUAAGCUAGUUGAAAGCAUAACAUAUGCUAAGCAUUCCUUUUUUUUUUUUUUUUCAAUUUUUUUCAGAACUUUUUCUACAAGAAAGGAUUACUUGUGUGAAAGUACAAAAUUACAUCAAUAUGAACAAAAGCAAAAUCUCUUUAAACAAUUAAGUCAUUUAUUUGUUCACAGAUAUUUUGUUUAAAAUAUAUUAGGAAUAUUUAUUUACUUAUGUGUAGACUCAACUUAUUUAUUUUCCUUUUGAAGAAGUUAUACUAAUUUGCCAAAGCUGUAUAGUUCCACCCAAAAGUCUUCAACUAAUUGCCUAUUUUGAUAUUUAUAGCAAAAGAACAUUUUACCAAAGCAGAUUAAGUUGAAAAAUCAGAGAUAAUUAUUUCUUCAAAAAAAAGAAACUUGGAAACUUCAAAUUAAACAAGACUCAAUAAAAUAUUUCUCAUUUAUUAAUAACCCUACAUGAAAAAAAUGUACGCUCUAAAUAAUUUUAUAAUUAUUUACGGUACAAGUUUCCCCAACCCCCCAAUGUCUAUUUGAAAUUUUGAAAACGUGUGAAAGUAAAAUUUGAAGAUUAAUUUUCUGCCCUGGAAAACGCACAAGUUUCACUUAUAAAAUUAGCAAAAUAAGUGAUUUUGUGAGGUGAAGGAGAAAUAAGCUGUCUAUUCUAUUAGAUUGGUGAUUUAAUUGAAAAAGAUAUGCGUCACCUUUUUUUUUAUUUAAUAUUUAAAUUCGUGUUACAUUGUACGCACGGCGCUUUCCCGACCGAUUUCCGUCAAGUCACGGCGCGAGAGAAACUGGCCUCAUUUUGACCACGUGACUCGCCCGUGAGCAGGCCUUCCAGAUAUAGGGGGCGUUGUUCGAACCCGAGGCCCUCCGGCUCCGAAUCCGACACUCUACCGAUCGGGCUACCACGGCCCCUCUGUAAAUUUUAUGGGAAAAAAUUUGGCCUUGUAUAGUAAAACACCAUUCUAUUGAGGGGUAUUCUCCGCAAAUUUUACAGUUUUGCACAACCAACCCAGCUGCCGGUAAAAAACCGUAAUUUUUACGGAAUUUUUUUUACAUUAUGCAUUUAAAAAAAUGGAACACAAAAUUCAC